AUGGAUCGUGUGGAAGGUUUGAUGAAGAGUUUGAAGUUGCCUGAUCUGGAGAGUAAGGGGAGGAAGAUUGCAUGGACGGGAGGGGGUAAGGCUGGGAUCGUGGAACCGCAAGCCCUGGCUAAGCUGCUGUCAGAUAAACCAGCCUACGCUGAAGGUAUGAUAAACUCUCUGGGCAGGAUCUGGUGUCCACUGAGAGGUCUAGAUUGCAAAGAUCUUUGAGACAAUGUUUUCAUGUUCACGUUCCACCAACAUUCUGGGAAGAGGAAAGCCCUCGAUGAGGGUCCAUGGAUGUUCAAUAAUCCCCUCCUGGUGGUGGAGGAUUUUGAUCCGGCAAAGAGCACCAAGGACUAUAAGUUUAUGACAGUUCCGAUCUGGGUACGUGUCUUUGAUCUGCCUUUGGGA
This 402-nucleotide ribosomal RNA is filed under the name Triticum aestivum (bread wheat). Its description in RNAcentral is "partial small subunit ribosomal RNA". Lineage: Eukaryota; Viridiplantae; Streptophyta; Magnoliopsida; Poales; Poaceae. The record is from RNAcentral.